GGAAUAUUGGACAAUGGGGGCAACCCUGAUCCAGCCAUGCCGCGUGUGUGAAGAAGGCCUUCGGGUUGUAAAGCACUUUUGUCCGGGAAGAAAUCUCACGAUUUAAUACGUCGGGAGGAUGACGGUAACGGACGAAUAAGCACCGGCUAACUUCGUGCUACACCCCGCGGUAAUACGAAGGGUGCAAGCGUUACUCGGAAUUACUGGGCGUAAAGCGUGCGUAGGUGGUUCGUUAAGUCUGCCGUGAAAGCCCCGGGCUCAACCUGGGAAUGGCGGUGGAUACUGGCGGACUAGAGUGCGGUAGAGGGUGGUGGAAUUCCCGGUGUAGCAGUGAAAUGCGUAGAGAUCGGGAGGAACAUCUGUGGCGAAGGCGGCCACCUGGACCAGCACUGACACUGAGGCACGAAAGCGUGGGGAGCAAAC
RNAcentral lists this ribosomal RNA (423 nucleotides) under uncultured bacterium. RNAcentral describes it as "bacterial SSU rRNA". It matches the Rfam family "Bacterial small subunit ribosomal RNA", at positions 358 to 773 of the family's 1533-position model. The record is from RNAcentral.